GCGUGUAGAGCUCAAGUGGUAGAGUGCAUGCUUAGCAUGCAUGAGGUCCUGGGUUCAAUCCCCGGUACCUCCU
Molecule: transfer RNA, 73 nt
Filed under: Camelus bactrianus (Bactrian camel)
Lineage: Eukaryota; Metazoa; Chordata; Mammalia; Artiodactyla; Camelidae
Also listed under: 2 other names
Rfam family: tRNA
About the family: Transfer RNA (tRNA) molecules are approximately 80 nucleotides in length.
Source: Rfam by way of RNAcentral